UUAAAAAGAUGUUUUGAUAUAGGUUUUCUGUGGUUAAACGCGGCCCCCAUUUUCUUCAAUUCAUCAAGACUUUUCUCCAUCUUCUGAUUCUCUGUUCACCGUGGAGGCAUGUAAGAAAAACAAAGUUUUCUUCAAGAAUUCAAGGUACCACAGGGUGAUUAAUUGGUAUA
Molecule: long non-coding RNA, 170 nt
Organism: Sebastes umbrosus (honeycomb rockfish)
Lineage: Eukaryota; Metazoa; Chordata; Actinopteri; Perciformes; Sebastidae
Exons: 3
Source: RefSeq, a predicted model, not a curated record